AUGGAGCUACAAGGGGCCCAAGAGGACCUGGGCAUUUCCCUCUCUAGUCCCCGCAGGAACCACAAAACCAGGCCAGGAAGCAAGGCUAAGGGCAGGAGCAGCAUCUGUCUCUAGGGGUCUGUUUGGACUGCUGGAGGAAAGCUGAGGCUCAGAGCAAGUGAACAUCUAACCCAGGGCCACCAACAAGAGCUCAGGGAUUGGAACCUAGGAGAAGAUGCUUCCCUUCUCUUCUCCAAGAGUCCUUUUGGGGCUGGCAAGUUGAUGCAAGCUCCAGCUCAUGUCUUCAGACAAUGCUGGGUCCAAGGAAAUGCAUGGAUCUCCUGCAUUACAAAGUUUUGACUCCAAGAGAAGCCCAGAAGUGGCUUCCAGCCCCUCCUACCUGACUGUGCCCCGCCUUCACCACUUCCUGUCUUCCUGCGACCCAGUGACAGAUGUAUCUGUGGGGGCUGCUACUGGGGAAAGUCCACCAGGAGGAGAGCAUGCCAAUCUCUCCUCUCAGAUCCUCUGGGGGUUCCUUUCCCCACCCAAACUAGGCCUUGA
This is an RNA transcript of Nomascus leucogenys (northern white-cheeked gibbon), 540 nucleotides long. It is a transcript of the gene named long intergenic non-protein coding RNA 2694, with no coding region annotated. The record is from RefSeq and is a predicted model, not a curated record. The transcript has 3 exons. Lineage: Eukaryota; Metazoa; Chordata; Mammalia; Primates; Hylobatidae.